This 386-nucleotide ribosomal RNA is filed under the name uncultured Acetothermia bacterium. RNAcentral's name for it is "bacterial SSU rRNA". It matches the Rfam family "Bacterial small subunit ribosomal RNA", at positions 1004 to 1382 of the family's 1533-position model. Lineage: Bacteria; Candidatus Bipolaricaulota. The record is from RNAcentral.
CGACGACCUGUAUCCAAUCAGGAGCUUUCUACAGGUGCUGCAUGGCUGUCGUCAGCUCGUGCCGUGAGGUGUUGGGUUAAGUCCUGAAACGAGCGCAACCCCUGCCGCCCGUUGCCAGCGGACCCUUCGGGUGCCGGGAACUUUGGCGGGACUGCCGGCGAAUAGCUGGAGAAGGAGGGGAUGAUGUCAAGUCCUCAUGGCCCUUAUGUCCGGGGCUACACACAUGCUACAGUGCCCAGUACAAUGGGUCGCCAACCCGCAAGGGGGAGCCAAUCCCAUCAAAACGGGGCAUGGUUCGGAUUGCAGGCUGCAAUUCGCCUGCAUGAAGCCGGAAUCGCUAGUAAUCGCGGGUCAGCCACACCGCGGUGAAUACGUACUCGGGGCUU